AUACGGAGGGUGCAAGCGUUACUCGGAAUCACGGGGCGUAAAGCGCGCGCAGGCGGGCUGAUAAGUUGGAUGUGAAAGCCUACGGCUCAACCGUAGAACUGCAUCCAAAACUGUCAGUCUAGAGUGUGGGAGAGGAAGAUGGAAUUAGUUGUGUAGGGGUAAAAUCCGUAGAGAUAACUAGGAAUAUCAAAAGCGAAGGCAAUCUUCUGGAACACUACUGACGCUGAGGCGCGAAGGCGUGGGGAGCAAACAGGAUUAGAUACCCUAGUAGUCC
This 274-nucleotide ribosomal RNA is filed under the name uncultured bacterium. RNAcentral describes it as "partial 16S ribosomal RNA". It matches the Rfam family "Bacterial small subunit ribosomal RNA", at positions 523 to 796 of the family's 1533-position model. The record is from RNAcentral.